Molecule: transfer RNA, 128 nt
Filed under: Euroglyphus maynei
Lineage: Eukaryota; Metazoa; Arthropoda; Arachnida; Sarcoptiformes; Pyroglyphidae
Rfam family: tRNA
About the family: Transfer RNA (tRNA) molecules are approximately 80 nucleotides in length.
Source: Rfam by way of RNAcentral
GGCUCCAUAGUGUAGUGGCUAUCACUCUGGACUUUGAAUAAAAUAGGAUUUCCGUUUGUUCAUUAUGAAAAAAAAUCACAUGAAAAAGAUGUUAUCCAGCAACCCGAGUUCGAAUCUCGGUGGGGCCU